CUUUCCAACAUCAUUCACUUAGUAAUAUUUAAAAACUCUCACCUGUGUCUUAAAUAACUGUGGCUGCCCUUUAAAAUUAUUUACAUUUAUUUGACCUUUGUAGAAGAUAAAAUCGUAAAGUCUCCAUUUUUUAUAACCUUUCCUCAUACUUAAAUUUAUGACAAAUAUUGACCUUUCUCUGCCAUUCAAGAUCCACACAAAGUGUUUGAAUCUCCUCUAAAAUAUCCUGUAUUUUCAAUCCUUUUCUUAUAUCAGAAACUUUUCUUUGUCUGUGUUUGAACUCUUCCUGGUUUCUCUCAGGUUGGAAACAAAUGAGAAAACGCACUUCAGGGAAAAUGCGACAACCUCUAAAUAUGCCAUGGAAACUAAAUUUUUGCUGUAUGAAAAUCUGACAUCUUUCUAAUUAAAAAGAAAUAUAAAGUAUUGUUCUUAGGUGCUGGAUGAUAUUCUUCAAAAUAUGUAUGUUGAAAAACACUGGUAUGGAGUAUGAAAUUCAGGUAAUAGCAAGUUUCCCAGGACAAUUUCUGAAGCUGAUAUUUGUGACAGUUUGCAAAAAUGACCACAAAUACUUAGGAGCAAAUACCGUUACAAGGCACACGCAUGCAUGCACUCUCUCAAACAAGAAG
Long non-coding RNA from Mustela erminea (ermine), 626 nucleotides. RefSeq lists it as uncharacterized. Lineage: Eukaryota; Metazoa; Chordata; Mammalia; Carnivora; Mustelidae. The record is from RefSeq and is a predicted model, not a curated record. The transcript is spliced from 3 exons.